CUAACGUGGACCCGUGAUCCGGGUUGCGGACAGUGUCUGGUGGGUAGUUUGACUGGGGCGGUCUCCUCCUAAAGAGUAACGGAGGAGCACGAAGGUUGGCUAAUCCUGGUCGGACAUCAGGAGGUUAGUGCAAUGGCAUAAGCCAGCUUGACUGCGAGCGUGACGGCGCGAGCAGGUGCGAAAGCAGGUCAUAGUGAUCCGGUGGUUCUGAAUGGAAGGGCCAUCGCUCAACGGAUAAAAGGUACUCCGGGGAUAACAGGCUGAUACCGCCCAAGAGUUCAUAUCGACGGCGGUGUUUGGCACCUCGAUGUCGGCUCAUCACAUCCUGGGGCUGAAGUAGGUCCCAAGGGUAUGGCUGUUCGCCAUUUAAAGUGGUACGCGAGCUGGGUUUAGAACGUCGUGAGACAGUUCGGUCCCUAUCUGCCGUGGGCGCUGGAGAACUGAGGGGGGCUGCUCCUAGUACGAGAGGACCGGAGUGGACGCAUCACUGGUGUUCGGGUUGUCAUGCCAAUGGCACUGCCCGGUAGCUAAAUGCGGAAGAGAUAAGUGCUGAAAGCAUCUAAGCACGAAACUUGCCCCGAGAUGAGUUCUCCCUGAGACUUAGAGUCUCCUGAAGGAACGUUGAAGACGACGACGUUGAUAGGCCGGGUGUGUAAGCGCAGCGAUGCGUUGAGCUAACCGGUACUAAUGAACCGUGAGGCUUAACCUUACAACGCCGAAG
Molecule: ribosomal RNA, 721 nt
Filed under: Salmonella enterica
Lineage: Bacteria; Pseudomonadati; Pseudomonadota; Gammaproteobacteria; Enterobacterales; Enterobacteriaceae
Also listed under: 1 other name
Description: partial 23S ribosomal RNA
Rfam family: Bacterial large subunit ribosomal RNA
Source: RNAcentral